UACGGAGGAUGCAAGCGUUAUCCGGAUUUAUUGGGUUUAAAGGGUGCGUAGGCGGACGCUUAAGUCAGCGGUAAAAUUGCGGGGCUCAACCUCGUCGAGCCGUUUGAACUGGCGCGCUUGAGUUCAGGCGAGGUAGGCGGAAUUCGUGGUGUAGCGGUGAAAUGCAUAGAUAUCACGAAGAACUCCGAUUGCGAAGGCAGCUUACUAAGCCAUAACUGACACUGAAGCACGAAAGCGUGGGGAGCGAACAGG
This 252-nucleotide ribosomal RNA is filed under the name uncultured Bacteroidales bacterium. Its description in RNAcentral is "partial 16S ribosomal RNA". It matches the Rfam family "Bacterial small subunit ribosomal RNA", at positions 524 to 776 of the family's 1533-position model. Lineage: Bacteria; Pseudomonadati; Bacteroidota; Bacteroidia; Bacteroidales. The record is from RNAcentral.